UCGGAACGUAUCCAUAAGUGGGGGACAACCUAGCGAAAGUUAGGCUAAUACCGCAUACGCAGGAGACUGGAAAGUGGGGGAUCGCAAGACCUCACGCUUUAGGAGCGGCCGAUAUCAGAUUAGCUAGAUGGUGAGGUAAAGGCUUACCAUGGCGACGAUCUGUAGCUGGUCUGAGAGGAUGAUCAGCCACACUGGGACUGAGACACGGCCCAG
RNAcentral lists this ribosomal RNA (213 nucleotides) under uncultured bacterium. Its description in RNAcentral is "partial 16S ribosomal RNA". It matches the Rfam family "Bacterial small subunit ribosomal RNA", at positions 118 to 334 of the family's 1533-position model. The record is from RNAcentral.